RNAcentral lists this ribosomal RNA (433 nucleotides) under uncultured bacterium. RNAcentral's name for it is "bacterial SSU rRNA". It matches the Rfam family "Bacterial small subunit ribosomal RNA", at positions 29 to 506 of the family's 1533-position model. The record is from RNAcentral.
GCGAACGCUGGCGGCAGGCUUAACACAUGCAAGUCGAGCGCCCGUAGCAAUACGGGAGCGGCAGACGGGAGAGUAACACGUGGGAACGUACCUUUCAGUUCGGAACAACCCAGGGAAACUUGGGCUAAUACCGGAUACGCCCGCAAGGGGAAAGAUUUAUCGCUGAAAGAUCGGCCCGCGUCCGAUUAGCUAGUUGGUGAGGUAAUGGCUCACCAAGGCGACGAUCGGUAGCUGGUCUGAGAGGAUGAUCAGCCUCACUGGGACUGAGACACGGCCCAGACUCCUACGGGAGGCAGCAGUGGGGAAUAUUGGACAAUGGGCGCAAGCCUGAUCCAGCCAUGCCGCGUGGGUGAUGAAGGCCCUAGGGUUGUAAAGCCCUUUCGGCGGGGAAGAUAAUGACGGUACCCGCAGAAGAAGCCCCGGCUAACUUCGU